AAAGCGGGUGAAAAGCCCGCUCGCCGGAAGACCAAGGGUUCCUGUCCAACGUUAAUCGGGGCAGGGUGAGUCGACCCCUAAGGCGAGGCCGAAAGGCGUAGUCGAUGGGAAACGGGUUAAUAUUCCCGUACUUGGUGUUACUGCGAAGGGGGGACGGAGAAGGCUAUGUUGGCCGGGCGACGGUUGUCCCGGUUUAAGCGUGUAGGUGUGUGUUCCAGGUAAAUCCGGUUCACUUUAACACUGAGGCGUGACGACGAGGCACUACGGUGCUGAAGCAACAAAUGCCCUGCUUCCAGGAAAAGCCUCUAAGCAUCAGGUAACACGAAAUCGUACCCCAAACCGACACAGGUGGUCAGGUAGAGAAUACCAAGGCGCUUGAGAGAACUCGGGUGAAGGAACUAGGCAAAAUGGUGCCGUAACUUCGGGAGAAGGCACGCUGACACGUAGGUGAAGUGAUUUACUCAUGGAGCUGAAGUCAGUCGAAGAUACCAGCUGGCUGCAACUGUUUAUUAAAAACACAGCACUGUGCAAACACGAAAGUGGACGUAUACGGUGUGACGCCUGCCCGGUGCCGGAAGGUUAAUUGAUGGGGUCAGCGCAAGCGAAGCUCCUGAUCGAAGCCCCGGUAAACGGCGGCCGUAACUAUAACGGUCCUAAGGUAGCGAAAUUCCUUGUCGGGUAAGUUCCGACCUGCACGAAUGGCGUAAUGAUGGCCAGGCUGUCUCCACCCGAGACUCAGUGAAAUUGAACUCGCUGUGAAGAUGCAGUGUACCCGCGGCAAGACGGAAAGACCCCGUGAACCUUUACUAUAGCUUGACACUGAACAUUGAGCCUUGAUGUGUAGGAUAGGUGGGAGGCUUUGAAGUGUGGACGCCAGUCUGCAUGGAGCCGACCUUGAAAUACCACCCUUUAAUGUUUGAUGUUCUAACGUGGACCCGUAAUCCGGGUUGCGGACAGUGUCUGGUGGGUAGUUUGACUGGGGCGGUCUCCUCCUAAAGAGUAACGGAGGAGCACGAAGGUUGGCUAAUCCUGGUCGGACAUCAGGAGGUUAGUGCAAUGGCAUAAGCCAGCUUGACUGCGAGCGUGACGGCGCGAGCAGGUGCGAAAGCAGGUCAUAGUGAUCCGGUGGUUCUGAAUGGAAGGGCCAUCGCUCAACGGAUAAAAGGUACUCCGGGGAUAACAGGCUGAUACCGCCCAAGAGUUCAUAUCGACGGCGGUGUUUGGCACCUCGAUGUCGGCUCAUCACAUCCUGGGGCUGAAGUAGGUCCCAAGGGUAUGGCUGUUCGCCAUUUAAAGUGGUACGCGAGCUGGGUUUAGAACGUCGUGAGACAGUUCGGUCCCUAUCUGCCGUGGGCGCUGGAGAACUGAGGGGGGCUGCUCCUAGUACGAGAGGACCGGAGUGGACGCAUCACUGGUGUUCGGGUUGUCAUGCCAAUGGCACUGCCCGGUAGCUAAAUGCGGAAGAGAUAAGUGCUGAAAGCAUCUAAGCACGAAACUUGCCCCGA
RNAcentral lists this ribosomal RNA (1505 nucleotides) under Salmonella enterica subsp. enterica serovar 4,[5],12:d:-. RNAcentral describes it as "partial 23S ribosomal RNA". It matches the Rfam family "Bacterial large subunit ribosomal RNA", at positions 1314 to 2802 of the family's 2925-position model. Lineage: Bacteria; Pseudomonadati; Pseudomonadota; Gammaproteobacteria; Enterobacterales; Enterobacteriaceae. The record is from RNAcentral.